This 507-nucleotide unclassified non-coding RNA is filed under the name Alternaria multiformis. Its description in RNAcentral is "sequence contains 18S rRNA gene, ITS1, 5.8S rRNA gene, ITS2". The stretch from base 144 to 297 matches the Rfam family "5.8S ribosomal RNA". The record is from RNAcentral. Lineage: Eukaryota; Fungi; Ascomycota; Dothideomycetes; Pleosporales; Pleosporaceae.
AUCCUUCGGGGUUACAGCCUUGCUGAAUUAUUCACCCGUGUCUUUUGCGUACUUCUUGUUUCCUUGGUGGGUUCGCCCACCAUAGGACAAACCAUAAACCUUUUGUAAUUGCAAUCAGCGUCAGUAAAAAAAUUAAUAAUUACAACUUUUAACAACGGAUCUCUUGGUUCUGGCAUCGAUGAAGAACGCAGCGAAAUGCGAUAAGUAGUGUGAAUUGCAGAAUUCAGUGAAUCAUCGAAUCUUUGAACGCACAUUGCGCCCUUUGGUAUUCCAAAGGGCAUGCCUGUUCGAGCGUCAUUUGUACCCUCAAGCUUUGCUUGGUGUUGGGCGUCUUGUCUCCAGUUCGCUGGAGACUCGCCUUAAAGUAAUUGGCAGCCGGCCUACUGGUUUCGGAGCGCAGCACAAGUCGCGCUCUCUUCCAGCCAAGGUCAGCAUCCACAAAGCCUUUUUUCAACUUUUGACCUCGGAUCAGGUAGGGAUACCCGCUGAACUUAAGCAUAUCAAUAA